AAUGGAGGCAACACUGACCCAGCCAUGCCGCGUGCAGGAAGACUGCCUAUGGGUUGUAAACUGCUUUUAUACAGGAAGAACAGCUCUACGUGUAGAGUCUUGACGGUACUGUAAGAAUAAGGACCGGCUAACUCCGUGCCAGCAGCCGCGGUAAUACGGAGGGUCCAAGCGUUAUCCGGAAUCAUUGGGUUUAAAGGGUCCGCAGGCGGUCAAUUAAGUCAGAGGUGAAAUCCCAUAGCUUAACUAUGGAACUGCCUUUGAUACUGGUUGACUUGAGUCAUAUGGAAGUAGAUAGAAUAAGUAGUGUAGCGGUGAAAUGCAUAGAGAUUACUUAGAAUACCGAUUGCGAAGGCAGUCUACUACGUAUGUACUGACGCUCAUGGACGAAAGCGUGGGGAGCGAACAGGUUU
This 410-nucleotide ribosomal RNA is filed under the name uncultured Flavobacteriia bacterium. RNAcentral describes it as "bacterial SSU rRNA". It matches the Rfam family "Bacterial small subunit ribosomal RNA", at positions 370 to 779 of the family's 1533-position model. The record is from RNAcentral. Lineage: Bacteria; Pseudomonadati; Bacteroidota; Flavobacteriia.